CUGAAUAAACCUGACGUGGUUGUAGCUGACUCCCUUGGGGGUAUGUGCACACCUGUCAUCUUUAUCUUUCCACCUGUGCACUUUUUGUAGACCUGGAUGUAACACUUUCCAAGGCAACUUGGUCAAGAGGAAUGCUUGUUAGCUUUCCUUGCAUAUCCAGGCCUAUGUUUUCAUAUACCCCAAAGAAUGUAACAGAAUGUAUCAUUGGGCCUUGUGCCUAUAAAAUAUAUA
Molecule: unclassified non-coding RNA, 231 nt
Filed under: uncultured Galerina
Lineage: Eukaryota; Fungi; Basidiomycota; Agaricomycetes; Agaricales; Cortinariaceae
Description: sequence contains ITS1
Source: RNAcentral